This 2927-nucleotide ribosomal RNA is filed under the name Cronobacter sakazakii. RNAcentral's name for it is "bacterial LSU rRNA". It matches the Rfam family "Bacterial large subunit ribosomal RNA". The record is from RNAcentral. Lineage: Bacteria; Pseudomonadati; Pseudomonadota; Gammaproteobacteria; Enterobacterales; Enterobacteriaceae.
GGGUUGUGAGGUUAAGCGAACAAGCGUACACGGUGGAUGCCCUGGCAGUCAGAGGCGAUGAAGGACGUGCUAAUCUGCGAAAAGCGCCGGUAAGGUGAUAUGAACCGUUAUAACCGGCGAUGUCCGAAUGGGGAAACCCGGUGCACUUCGGUGCAUCAUCGUUAGCUGAAUACAUAGGCUAACGAGGCGAACCGGGGGAACUGAAACAUCUAAGUACCCCGAGGAAAAGAAAUCAACCGAGAUUCCCCCAGUAGCGGCGAGCGAACGGGGAACAGCCCAGAGCCUGAAUCAGCUUGUGUGUCAGUGGAACGGUCUGGAAAGGCCGGCGAUACAGGGUGACAGCCCCGUACACGAAGGCACACAGGCUGUGAGCUCGAUGAGUAGGGCGGGACACGUGAUAUCCUGUCUGAAGAUGGGGGGACCAUCCUCCAAGGCUAAAUACUCCUGACUGACCGAUAGUGAACCAGUACCGUGAGGGAAAGGCGAAAAGAACCCCGGCGAGGGGAGUGAAACAGAACCUGAAACCGUGUACGUACAAGCAGUGGGAGCCUUCGUAAGAGGGUGACUGCGUACCUUUUGUAUAAUGGGUCAGCGACUUAUAUUCUGUAGCAAGGUUAACCGUAUAGGGGAGCCGAAGGGAAACCGAGUCUUAAUUGGGCGUUAAGUUGCAGGGUAUAGACCCGAAACCCGGUGAUCUAGCCAUGGGCAGGUUGAAGGUUGGGUAACACUAACUGGAGGACCGAACCGACUAAUGUUGAAAAAUUAGCGGAUGACCUGUGGCUGGGGGUGAAAGGCCAAUCAAACCGGGAGAUAGCUGGUUCUCCCCGAAAGCUAUUUAGGUAGCGCCUCGUGAACUCAUCUCCGGGGGUAGAGCACUGUUUCGGCUAGGGGGCCAUCCCGGCUUACCAACCCGAUGCAAACUGCGAAUACCGGAGAAUGUUAUCACGGGAGACACACGGCGGGUGCUAACGUCCGUCGUGAAGAGGGAAACAACCCAGACCGCCAGCUAAGGUCCCAAAGUCAUGGUUAAGUGGGAAACGAUGUGGGAAGGCCCAGACAGCCAGGAUGUUGGCUUAGAAGCAGCCAUCAUUUAAAGAAAGCGUAAUAGCUCACUGGUCGAGUCGGCCUGCGCGGAAGAUGUAACGGGGCUAAACCAUGCACCGAAGCUGCGGCAGCGACACUAUGUGUUGUUGGGUAGGGGAGCGUUCUGUAAGCCUGUGAAGGUGUGCUGUGAGGCAUGCUGGAGGUAUCAGAAGUGCGAAUGCUGACAUAAGUAACGAUAAAGCGGGUGAAAAGCCCGCUCGCCGGAAGACCAAGGGUUCCUGUCCAACGUUAAUCGGGGCAGGGUGAGUCGACCCCUAAGGCGAGGCCGAAAGGCGUAGUCGAUGGGAAACAGGUUAAUAUUCCUGUACUUGGUGUUACUGCGAAGGGGGGACGGAGAAGGCUAUGUCGGCCGGGCGACGGUUGUCCCGGUUUAAGCGUGUAGGCUGACUUUCCAGGCAAAUCCGGAAGGUUAAGGCUGAGGCGUGAUGACGAGGCACCACGGUGCUGAAGUGACAAAUGCCCUGCUUCCAGGAAAAGCCUCUAAGCAUCAGGUAACAUCAAAUCGUACCCCAAACCGACACAGGUGGUCAGGUAGAGAAUACCAAGGCGCUUGAGAGAACUCGGGUGAAGGAACUAGGCAAAAUGGUGCCGUAACUUCGGGAGAAGGCACGCUGACAUGUAGGUGAAGCCCCUGCGGGUGGAGCUGAAGUCAGUCGAAGAUACCAGCUGGCUGCAACUGUUUAUUAAAAACACAGCACUGUGCAAACACGAAAGUGGACGUAUACGGUGUGACGCCUGCCCGGUGCCGGAAGGUUAAUUGAUGGGGUUAUCGCAAGAGAAGCUCCUGAUCGAAGCCCCGGUAAACGGCGGCCGUAACUAUAACGGUCCUAAGGUAGCGAAAUUCCUUGUCGGGUAAGUUCCGACCUGCACGAAUGGCGUAAUGAUGGCCAGGCUGUCUCCACCCGAGACUCAGUGAAAUUGAACUCGCUGUGAAGAUGCAGUGUACCCGCGGCAAGACGGAAAGACCCCGUGAACCUUUACUACAGCUUGACACUGAACAUUGAGCCUUGAUGUGUAGGAUAGGUGGGAGGCUUUGAAGCGUGGACGCCAGUCUGCGUGGAGCCGACCUUGAAAUACCACCCUUUAAUGUUUGAUGUUCUAACCUGGCGCCGUGAUCCGGCGUGGGGACAGUGUCUGGUGGGUAGUUUGACUGGGGCGGUCUCCUCCCAAAGUGUAACGGAGGAGCACGAAGGUCAGCUAAUCCUGGUCGGACAUCAGGAGGUUAGUGCAAUGGCAUAAGCUGGCUUGACUGCGAGAGUGACGGCUCGAGCAGGUGCGAAAGCAGGUCAUAGUGAUCCGGUGGUUCUGUAUGGAAGGGCCAUCGCUCAACGGAUAAAAGGUACUCCGGGGAUAACAGGCUGAUACCGCCCAAGAGUUCAUAUCGACGGCGGUGUUUGGCACCUCGAUGUCGGCUCAUCACAUCCUGGGGCUGAAGUAGGUCCCAAGGGUAUGGCUGUUCGCCAUUUAAAGUGGUACGCGAGCUGGGUUUAGAACGUCGUGAGACAGUUCGGUCCCUAUCUGCCGUGGGCGCUGGAGAAUUGAGGGGGGCUGCUCCCAGUACGAGAGGACCGGAGUGGACGCAUCACUGGUGUUCGGGUUGUCAUGCCAAUGGCACUGCCCGGUAGCUAAAUGCGGAAGAGAUAAGUGCUGAAAGCAUCUAAGCACGAAACUUGCCCCGAGAUGAGUUCUCCCUGAGACUGUAAGUCUCCUGAAGGAACGUUGAAGACGACGACGUUGAUAGGCCGGGUGUGUAAGCGCAGCGAUGCGUUGAGCUAACCGGUACUAAUGAACCGUGAGGCUUAACCUUACAACGCCAAAGAAGU